Molecule: ribosomal RNA, 492 nt
Filed under: uncultured bacterium
Lineage: Bacteria
Description: partial 16S ribosomal RNA
Rfam family: Bacterial small subunit ribosomal RNA
Source: RNAcentral
AGUGAACGCUGGCGGUAGGCCUAACACAUGCAAGUCGAACGGCAGCACAGUAAGAGCUUGCUCUUACGGGUGGCGAGUGGCGGACGGGUGAGGAAUACAUCGGAAUCUACUUUUUCGUGGGGGAUAACGUAGGGAAACUUACGCUAAUACCGCAUACGACCUACGGGUGAAAGCAGGGGAUCUUCGGACCUUGCGCGAUUGAAUGAGCCGAUGUCGGAUUAGCUAGUUGGCGGGGUAAAGGCCCACCAAGGCGACGAUCCGUAGCUGGUCUGAGAGGAUGGUCAGCCACACUAGAACUGAGACACGGUCCAGACUCCUACGGGAGGCAGCAGUCGGGAAUAUUGGACAAUGGGCGCAAGCCUGAUCCAGCCAGACCGCGUGGGUGAAGAAGGCCUUCGGGUUGUAAAGACCUUUUGUUGGGAAAGAAAAGCAGCAGGUUAAUACCCCGCUGUUCUGACGGUACCCAAAGAAUAAGCACCGGCUAACUUCGUG